UUCUUCUUCUUCUUCUUCUUCUUCUUCUUCUUCUUCUCUUUCUUCUGUCCUUCAUCUCUUUCUCCCUGUCGAAUUCAAUUCCAAAGGUCUAGAUGAAUCGAGCUUUUUUUUGUGUGUGAUUCAUGUAAAUAUUGAGAUCUAGAUAAAUCUAAGAAGAGGGUGAUGAAUCUGGAAGCUAAUUUAGAAGAAAGUGGUGCUUCGAUUUCGUCAGAUAAUGGAGAACAAUGUAGAUUUUUGGACACGUAAUUAAGUAAUUUUGAAAUUAUGCUUUUAAUUUGGUUUUUGGAAUUAGAUUUCAAAGGUGGGUUUAAUUUGGGCUGUAUUUUGAGUAGGCAUCACCGGUUUGUAUUACUUAUCUGACAACUGAAUUUCAUUUCAUCCAAGCAGCAAUUUUUAAAUGUUGAGUUCAUCAAAGAAGUAUCGUUUUAUUCAUCUGCCGCUUUUCGAUUAUAAUCUUUAUACUUUCUGCCGUUAAACAAAUAUGUUGCUAGCUACAAGAAGCAGCAACGCGUCGAUCAGGUAAAACUACUCUUACACCUAUUGAAAAUAAAAUUCGUAAAUGCAUCACAUGAUAAUGGUGCUGCUUAUUGUCUUACAUGCUAUCGAUGUAGGAGUUAAAUGUGAUAAUGAGGCGAUGUGCGAUGCGUUAUUUAGAACCGUUCAUGUGCGUCAUUGCUGUGAGAAAGGAAGGCGAGAAUGCGCUUAGUGGCAUGCUUAAAAAUGUCAUUGGAACUCUUGAUUUUCGUUUCAAGUACAUGUUACAGGGGGAGACUUAUCCUGAUGUGCAUUAUACAUGGAUACUUAUCUAAUUUAAGUUAGCUUUUUGAUGUUGAGAAUCACCUAAUUAAGAUUUGAAUCUUUCCCAGGAAUUUUUAUAGCCAGCUGUGAAUAUGUUUAGCACCUUCAAAAGAAGGGGACCACGGAAACAUGGCAUAAUCUCAAACAUGAUUGUUGCCAAAAGUGCACGUCAACAAGGUAUAAAGCAGUUAUACUUACAUGUCUGUCGGGAUAACAAGCCAGCAUUAGCACUAUACAUAAAGAUGGGAUUUGAGAGGCGACUCCACAUCUGGAAGAAUAGAACCUAUACGUGUACAACAUAAAUCUGUAGUUAGAUUUUACUCAUUCUUUAAACUCAUAAAGAGGUUGUUUGUGCAGCUGUUCUUGAAAGUACAGAAUUCUCAUGGUACAACUUCAAGAAAUAUUUACCGUUGGUUUCAAAAGUCUCGAAGGACGGUAUGAAACACAUGAGGAUGAAAUACUUGAAAAUGCAAAGGAAAAUUUAAAGAAUUUUGAGGAAAGGAAAGAUUACAGUUCUAGGAACAUGAAAGGUAAAAUUGGUGGACGCCAUCAACUUACUCAAAACUGGAAAAAAAAUAGGCGGUGUUGAGUUCAGUAAUUGGGCAAGCUUAGUAUAAACCUGCUUACAGGCUUCAAAUUGACAGUGACAAACUUAAGGACGUGAAGCUUGAUAUAGUUGGAGGAAAUCUGAAGAAAAUUGGUGGGAAGUACUUCUGACCCACUCCCAAAUGAUUGCCGAGCGAUGGGGCGAGGCGAAGCCAAGCUACAUGCAUCGGGGCGAGGCGAAGCUGAACCAUACCAAAUCAAAAAUGUAUCACGACGGGGCGGGACGAAGCCCCGCGACACCAAAUCUAAAAUGCACGACGGGCCGAGGCGAAAUCACAUCAUACCAAAUCAAAAAUAUGGUUAAAAGAAAAAAAUGUAAUAAAAAAUCCUAAGCGACGGAGCGAGGCGAAGCCGAGCUACAUCAAAUAAAAAAUCCUAAGCAUGUACCGGACGGGGCGAGGCGAAGCCGAGAUACACAAAAUCAAAUAUCUUAAGCAUGCAUUGGGACGGGGCGAGGCAAAACAGUUUUCGGGUCCUCCCGAUGCGUAGCACAUGCACAAAAUCUAGGUUUGAUUAAUGGUAGACCAAGACGUUUUGUGUGUUUUUGAUUCCUCCUUCUCCAUGUUUUUCUAAUUCUACAAAUUUUACCUUUCCAUCUCCCUGGAAUACAACAUGGUACUGGCCUUUCUCUUCUUGCUCAUGGAGUACAUUAAGAGACUUAACUACAGGUCAACACACAAACUCUUUCCACUUUGAAUUAAGAAUUUUGUUUAGUUUGAUUUCAAUGUCUUCAGGGUUUAAAAUAAUGCUGCUUUGAAGAGAAUAUUGGAAAAUAAUAAACAGAGAAAUUAUAGUUCAUUAUUAUUUCCCGAUAAUUGCCUAGACAUUAUUUUACUAGCCUUAUUUUAGCCACGUUGUUAACUGUAUAUGCCUACAAACAUGGAAAGAAGGAGCUGAAGUUCCUUCUUUCCAUUAGAGAAACUGGAAACUUAAUUAGAUUAUCGUUCCGUGAGUGCUUUAUGGAGGAAACUGGAAACUUAGAUUAUUGGCCUUUAUGGAGAAAACUGGAAAUCUCGCGUAAGCUAUUAGAGAAGGUCAGAUCAUACGUCAUCAUUAGAUCAAAUUUUAGAUUAUCGUUCCGUGAGUGCUUUAAUUUAAUUUGUGCUAACAUGUUUUGGUUGUUUCAGGUACAACUGAUUGAGCCUGUAGAUGGCAGGCAACUUCCUUAGGUCCAUCUCACCUUUUUGUAUUGAAUUUGUGAAUUUGAUUUUCUAGAUUGGUUAUCUACCGAAGGAAAAAUUGUGCAUUGCGAAGCCAACCAACACUAGGAAUAUCUGUUGCUACAUACAUGAAGUUGUGGAGCUGCUGCGACGUGCAAAUCAAUCUAUGAAUAUUAAUGUUGUUCUAGCAUACCCGUUGUUGCUGUUGCGCGAAUGGAGCUGAUGCAACCUACUGAUGUGAUGUGCCCGUUGCUUCUGCAUACAUGAUGUUGUUGCUACGUACUGCUCCCACUGCUUUGUACCUGCGCACCUGCUAAUGUAGCUGCUCCGUAUGUGCUGUUGUUACUGCUGGACGCAUAAACCUGCAUGUGCACCUGAUGUGCUGCGAACAAGGUGCUGCUGCCCCGGUACUUGUUUGUCGUGUAACUGCCAGUUUUUCUUCGAACAAGGUGCUCCUGCUGCGAAACGGUUGUUGGCGCGAACAAGCUUAUGUACAUGCUGUCGAGCAAGCAAGGCAUUGUUGUUGCUGCUGCUGCUCCACGUACUGCUGAUGCUACCUUUUAAUGUGGUGUUCCUGAUGGAAAUUAGGGUUCUAUUUAUUAUUCUUCUUGACCACCCAAAAUAUUUCACCCUUUCUCUCCGCCCUUUUGAUUUAUUUGUUUUCUUCAUUGUAUAUUACGUUAACAAUAUGGGUUUCGUGCACAAAAGCCUCAAUUUCUUAACUCUACAAUUCGAAUUGCGAGAAUCUCAUUGUAUUGAAUUACCUAUUCAUUUCUUAUUGGACGGCUUCUCAUCUGGUGAAGGA
This is a long non-coding RNA of Papaver somniferum (opium poppy), 3369 nucleotides long. RefSeq lists it as uncharacterized. The transcript is spliced from 5 exons. NCBI's taxonomy places the organism in Eukaryota, Viridiplantae, Streptophyta, Magnoliopsida, Ranunculales, Papaveraceae. The record is from RefSeq and is a predicted model, not a curated record.